UGGGACUUAUUUACAGUAGCUGCC
This 24-nucleotide non-coding RNA is filed under the name Arabidopsis thaliana (thale cress). Lineage: Eukaryota; Viridiplantae; Streptophyta; Magnoliopsida; Brassicales; Brassicaceae. The record is from RNAcentral.